AGCAGUAGCCGCGGUAAUACGUAGGUGGCAAGCGUUGUCCGGAAUUAUUGGGCGUAAAGGGCUCGCAAGCGGUUUCUUAAGUCUGAUGUGAAAGCCCCCGGCUCAACCGGGGAGGGUCAUUGGAAACUGGGAAACUUGAGUGCAGAAGAGGAGAGUGGAAUUCCACGUGUAGCGGUGAAAUGCGUAGAGAUGUGGAGGAACACCAGUGGCGAAGGCGACUCUCUGGUCUGUAACUGACGCUGAGGAGCGAAAGCGUGGGGAGCGAACAGGAUUAGAUACCCCCGUAGUCCCUGUCUCUUAUAC
RNAcentral lists this ribosomal RNA (303 nucleotides) under uncultured bacterium. Its description in RNAcentral is "partial 16S ribosomal RNA". It matches the Rfam family "Bacterial small subunit ribosomal RNA", at positions 507 to 807 of the family's 1533-position model. The record is from RNAcentral.